CCUACGGUGCGCAGCAGUGGGGAAUAUUGGACAAUGGGGGGAACCCUUAUCCAGCGACGCCGCGUGAGUGAAGAAGUAUUUCGGUAUGUAAAGCUCUAUCAGCAGGGAAGAAAAUGACGGUACCUGAGUAAGAAGCCCCGGCUAACUACGUGCCAGCAGCCGCGGUAAUACGUAGGGGGCAAGCGUUAUCCGGAUUUACUGGGUGUAAAGGGAGCGUAGACGGCAGCACAAGUCUGGAGUGAAAUCCCGGGGCUUAACCCCGGAACUGCUUUGGAAACUGUGCGGCUGGAGUGCAGGAGGGGUAAGCGGAAUUCCUAGUGUAGCGGUGAAAUGCGUAGAUAUUAGGAGGAACACCGGUGGCGAAGGCGGCUUACUGGACUGUCACUGACGUUGAGGCUCGAAAGCGUGGGGAGCAAACAGGAUUAGAUACCCGAGUAGUC
This 440-nucleotide ribosomal RNA is filed under the name uncultured bacterium. RNAcentral's name for it is "partial 16S ribosomal RNA". It matches the Rfam family "Bacterial small subunit ribosomal RNA", at positions 338 to 795 of the family's 1533-position model. The record is from RNAcentral.